UGGGAAGUCGUCCAAUUGGUAGGACACAUGACUCUGGAUCAUGGAAUCGGGGUUCGAGUCCCUGCUUCCCAGCCA
Molecule: transfer RNA, 75 nt
Filed under: Pseudomonadota bacterium
Lineage: Bacteria; Pseudomonadati; Pseudomonadota
Also listed under: 2 other names
Description: tRNA-Gln
Rfam family: tRNA
About the family: Transfer RNA (tRNA) molecules are approximately 80 nucleotides in length.
Source: RNAcentral